AACGAACGCUGGCGGCAUGCCUAGCACAUGCAAGUCGAACGAGUACCUUUUAGGUCUAGUGGCGCACGGGUGCGUAACGCGUGGGAAUCUGCCCUUGGGUUCGGAAUAACAGUUGGAAACGACUGCUAAUACCGGAUGAUGACGUAAGUCAAAGAUUUAUCGCCCAAGGAUGAGCCCGCGUAGGAUUAGCUAGUUGGUGAGGUAAAGGCUCACCAAGGCUACGAUCCUUAGCUGGUCUGAGAGGAUGAUCAGCCACACUGGGACUGAGACACGGCCCAG
Molecule: ribosomal RNA, 279 nt
Filed under: uncultured Sphingobium sp.
Lineage: Bacteria; Pseudomonadati; Pseudomonadota; Alphaproteobacteria; Sphingomonadales; Sphingobiaceae
Description: partial 16S ribosomal RNA
Rfam family: Bacterial small subunit ribosomal RNA
Source: RNAcentral